UGGGGUGUAGCUCUGCGGUAAAGCCCUUCCCUAGCAUGCUAGAGGCCUUGGGUUCCAUCCCCAGCACUGCAA
This 72-nucleotide transfer RNA is filed under the name Marmota monax (woodchuck). RNAcentral's name for it is "tRNA.Ala". Lineage: Eukaryota; Metazoa; Chordata; Mammalia; Rodentia; Sciuridae. The record is from RNAcentral.